This is a non-coding RNA of Heterocephalus glaber (naked mole-rat), 3584 nucleotides long. Lineage: Eukaryota; Metazoa; Chordata; Mammalia; Rodentia; Bathyergidae. The record is from RefSeq and is a predicted model, not a curated record.
GGAAGUGACGCGGCGAGGGCGGGCCGUCCAGGGAAGCCGCCACCACCGCCGCCUCCGCCUGGGCCGGGAAGCGAUGUAGGAGCCGCCUGGCCGUCCGCCCCCCGCCCUGCCCGGCCAGAGCCCAGCGGGCCGCAGCCACCGCCGCCAUGAAGAAGCAGUUCAACCGCAUGAAGCAGCUGGCCAACCAGACCGUGGGCAGAGCUGAGAAAACAGAAGUCCUCAGUGAAGAUCUGCUACAGAUUGAGCGGCGCCUGGAUGCUGUGCGGUCCAUGUGCCACCAUUCCCAUAAGCGUCUGAUUGCGUGCUUCCAGGGCCAGCAUGGCACCGAAUCUGAGAGGAGACACAAAAAACUCCCUCUGACAGCACUUGCUCAGAAUAUGCAAGAAGCAUCAACUCAGCUGGAAGAAUCUCUCCUGGGGAAGAUGCUGGAGACAUGCGGAGAUGCUGAGAAUCAGCUGGCUCUGGAGCUCUCUCAGCAUGAAGUGUUUGUGGAAAAGGAGAUCGUGGACCCUCUCUACAGCAUAGCGGAGGUGGAGAUCCCCAACAUCCAGAAGCAGAGGAAACAGCUUGCUAGAUUGGUGUUGGACUGGGAUUCGGUCAGAGCCAGGUGGAACCAAGCUCACAAAUCUUCAGGCACCAACUUCCAGGGGCUCCCAUCAAAAGUAGAUACUCUAAAGGAAGAGAUGGAUGAAGCCGGAAAUAAAGUAGAGCAGUGCAAGGAUCAGCUCGCGGCAGACAUGUACAACUUCGUGGCCAAAGAAGGGGAGUACGGCACAUUUUUUGUUACGUUAUUAGAAGCCCAAGCAGAUUACCAUAGAAAAGCAUUAGCAGUCUUAGAAAAGGCCCUUCCCGAAAUGCGAGCUCAUCAAGACAAGUGGGCAGAGAAGCCCGCCUUCGGCACGCCUUUGGAGGAGCACCUGAAGCGGAGCGGGCGUGAGAUCGCACUUCCCAUUGAGGCCUGCGUCAUGCUGCUCCUGGAGACGGGCAUGAAGGAGGAGGGCCUUUUCCGAAUUGGGGCUGGCGCCUCCAAGUUAAAGAAGCUGAAAGCUGCUUUGGACUGCUCCACUUCUCACUUGGAUGAAUUCUAUUCUGACCCCCAUGCUGUGGCAGGUGCUUUGAAGUCCUAUUUACGGGAAUUGCCUGAACCUUUGAUGACUUUUAAUCUGUAUGAAGAAUGGACACAAGUUGCAAGUGUGCAGGAUCAAGACAAAAAACUUCAAGAUUUAUGGAGAACAUGUCAGAAGUUGCCACCACAGAAUUUUGUUAACUUUAGGUAUUUGAUCAAGUUCCUUGCAAAACUUGCUCAGACCAGUGAUGUUAAUAAAAUGACUCCCAGCAACAUUGCAAUUGUGUUAGGCCCAAACUUGUUAUGGGCCAAAAAUGAAGGAACACUCGCUGAGAUCGCAGCAGCCACGUCGGUGCAUGUGGUUGCAGUGAUUGAACCCAUCAUUCAGCACGCCGACUGGUUCUUCCCUGAAGAGGUGGAAUUUAAUGUAUCAGAAGCCUUUGUGCCUCUUGCCACCCCGAAUUCUAAUCAAUCAUCCCACACUGGAAAUGACUGUGACUCAGGCGCCCCGGAGAGGAAGCGGCCUGCCAGCAUGGCGGUGAUGGAAGGAGACCUGGUGAAGAAGGAGAGCUUUGGUGUGAAGCUUAUGGACUUCCAGGCCCACCGGCGGAGUGGUACUCUAAAUAGAAAGCACGUAUCCCCUGCUUUCCAGCCACCACUCCCGCCCACAGAUGGCAGCACCGCGGCUCCUGCAGCCCCGGAGCCCCCUGCCCACAGCUCUCGGGCUGAAAGCAGCUCAGGGGGUGGGACUGUCCCCUCCUCUGCAGGCAUACCGGAGCAAGGGCCGGGCCCAGGUGACAGCAGCCCUCCAAAGCCCAAGGACUCCACACCUGCAGCUGUCCCUGCAUCAGGGAGAAGCAGCAGUCAGACAACCCCUGGCCAGGCCCAGGCCCAGGCCCAGUCAGGUGCUGGCCCCCAUCAGCUCUCGGUCGGCCCAGCCCACAGCGCUGCUGGCCCGAGCCCUCACACUCUUCGCCGGGCUGUUAAAAAACCUGCUCCAGCACCCCCCAAACCAGGAAACCCCCCUCCUGGCCAUCCCGGGGGCCAGAGUUCUCCAGGAUCAUCUCAGCUUCCACCGAGCAUGUCACCAAAGCCAGCCGCUCGAAGUCCUUCUCCCCCGCAGCACACAGGCCAGGCACCGGGCCAACCACUGACCACUGGCCAGCCCUCAGCACCCAGGAGGUACUCCAGCAGCCUGUCGCCAAUCCAAGCACCAAGCCACCCUCCGCCACAGCCCCCAACCCAGGCCACAUCACAGGUGCACAGCAGGCUGGGCGGCCAGGGCGGCCCCUCCUCCGGGGCUCUGCCUGGUGAGCAAGGACUGGAGCAGCCAUCUCAUACCCCUCCCCAGACUCCAACGCCCCCCAGGACCCCGCCUCUAGGGAAACAGAACCUCAGCCCGCCCGGACCUCAGACCCAGGCAGUGAGUGGCCCUGAGACUGCACAGCCGCAUACUGGAACCUUACCGAGACCUAGACCAGUCCCAAAGCCACGGAACCGACCCAGCAUGCCUCCACCCCCACAUCCUCCUGGCGCCCACCCAGCUGGGGACGGCAGCCUCACCGGUGCGGCUCUGACGUCCUCCAGAAUAGGGACAGUAGAUGCCCUUCCUAGCGCCCCCACAGGUGGGGAAGGCUUCCAGGACUGAGAAGAUGUAUGACCUGCCAUAUUCAGUAAGAACUGAAAUUGGAAUGUUUGAUGACACCAAUUCUAGGGUUUCAGAACCACCUCGCAACAUCUUUCCUGAAAUGCACUCAGACUCUGCAAGCGGAGAGGCGCCUGGCCACAUCCUGCUGGACAUGGACAAUGACACGGAAAGCACCGCCUUGUGAGGAGAGCCGCCUCCCGGCCGCGACCCUCCACCCUGGCGAGCGGGCUGGGGCAGACGACCCUCUGUCUCCGCAGACCAGACAGUGAGAAGCUUUGGGUGGCGGAGAAGCCUCGCCACGCAGGACUUGGCCUCUGCACAGCCCACUUAAAGCUGAAUGAGCUGUGUCUUGAAGAAGUUGGCUUUCUUUACGUAGGAAAGAAAUCAUGCCAAAAAGAAGCAAAAGCACAGAAGCCUGAGGUGAGAAGAGUAUGAGUGCCGAGAAGUGUGUGGGGAGCUUGGUCACCGCUGUUCACACAGGCAGCACCGGCAGCAGCUGGAGUGAGCAAGAGGCAACGCGGUUCCUCUGUUUAAUAAAACGCAUCAGCUCCCGAGUCACCUUCUGCCUGCUACUCACACUUCCACUCUCAUGCCGGAGGAGGGAGGCUUCUCUCCUCCAGACUCGCUGCACACCCUUCUGUCUUAAGUCUGCUCUUUGUCUCCCUCAGUCCUCUCGGUCCACGUGCAUUGAUGGUGACUGCUGGACCUGUCACCUCGUCAAACUGGAUUAUGACUGUGCCUUGUGGGGUUGCAGAAUGCAGAUGGAAAUGUACUGUUCUUUUUUUUAACCAUGUAAUUGCUACUUGAUAAGGACCGAACAUUAUUCUAGUUUCAUGUUUAAUUUGAAUUAAAUAUAUUCUGUGGUUUAUA